Betta splendens (Siamese fighting fish) is the source of this 5414-nucleotide long non-coding RNA. RefSeq lists it as uncharacterized. Lineage: Eukaryota; Metazoa; Chordata; Actinopteri; Anabantiformes; Osphronemidae. The record is from RefSeq and is a predicted model, not a curated record. The transcript is spliced from 3 exons.
UCUAAACCAGGUUGUCUGAAAGUUGGGUACAUUCUUUUAGAGCAGAAAUGUUACUCAAGGAGCUUCUACAUGAUAUGUCCCUCAUGGGGGACGUGGUCUUCACAAGGAACAAUUGGCUCCUACAUCCCAGAUGGCAUGGCAGAGUCAAAUGAUCGUAGACAUGUUGUUAGCAGAGAAAGGAGGCAUUUGUGUUAUGCUCAGAGAGGCAUGUUGUACUGUACUUACAUCCCGAAUAACACUGAUUCUAAUAGUACUGUAGCGAAGGCGCUCCACGGCCUUCAGAGUCUCAGGGAGAAAUGGGCUGCAACUCAGGUAUAGAUUCUUCCCCUUGGAAUUGGCUAGACGAAAUGUCUGGAAAAUGAAAAUCUGUUCUCAUGUCUGAAGCUGUUUCCUUUAUCAUUGUGAUGGCUGUGAUUCUUUUGCUUGGUUGUUUUGUUAUCACACUGGUUAGAGGUCUCAUCAUGUGUGCGACCUCAGCAACACUCUCGUAUCAAAUGACACAAUGUUCAGAAACCCCGACUCCAAUUCACUUAAUGACUUUGAUGAUGAUCUUGGUUUCUCUGAUGAUGAUGACGAUGAUGCUGAGACUACAAUAGGUAAUUACUUUAUUGUGACAAUCUUUUUAUUUCUCCUCUCUUUGUUGUUUGUUAUCUGAUCACGAAACAUAAUCUGAUACAAAUACGAUUAUUGGCUUAUUUUCUUCACAUGCUUGUACAGAGGUUAUUCUUGUUUAACUACCCACAAAAACGGCUCCAACAUUUUAUACCUAAGUUACCUGCAUUUUAUUUGAAGGUGUAUUUUUGAAUCUUGAUGAGUUAAUACACUCAUUUUUUUCAUUUGCAAGGGUCUUUUAGUAUUACAAAAUGCGAUGUUUGACAAUUUUUAUUCUUGUGGUUUUUUUCUAGUGUUUGAUUAAUGUGUAAUCAAAAGGGGGGAGUGUUAUGGGAAAAAUUGCUUCUUCCUUAUUCUAUGCAGUUAUUAUAUGAUUUAUGACUUAUGUUCUGCAAUUAUUAUGUCAUGUUUUGUCUUCCAUCUGUUUUAUGUAUUCGACAUUUCACCUAGGUUGUUCAAUGGUUUCUCUGCCUGAUAGACUCUGGACUCUAGCUCCCAAACCCAUGGCCGGGGAGGUGUCUCUCUGUCUGUUGAGACUUAGCGCUCCUUCCUCUCUGAUAGUUAGACGUCAGUGAUGGAGGUGUGAGAAUGUAAACAUCUCCACACACACAGGGUGUGUGACAGGGUGACAGGGACGAGAUGCUACAUGCAAUCUGAUUUGGCCACACAGACGUUCCACCGUUUUCGGACAGAAGGAUUAAAAGGCAAAGACAACUUGAGGAUCGGGGGCUCUUUGCAUCACACCUUCGUGGUGUAUGCACUGAUCUCCCUAGCUGGUUUUUGGUUUGUCAAUGUGCACGAUCAACAUCCAUGAUUUUGACUUGCUUUCCCCAUUAUUUUUAUUUUCUUUUAUUUUUGUAAUAAAUCUCACAAAAGACAACUCUCUUAUCUGCCUCUUUUUGAAAUUUCCACCACACUCUGCCACAGACACUAGUCGAAAAACCAACAACAAGAGGGGCUUCAGAUGUGAUAGAGCUGCAUGCGAAGACCCAGAAAAUGUCUGUUAUGGCUGUGGUCAGGAGGGGCAUUGGAAGAAGAACUGUCCCUGCUACGUCAGGCUUCACCCACUCGGGCGCUCACAUCAGACUGAUGGUUGGGGAAGCAGGAAGGUGACGGUUCCUUUUCACGUGAUGUAGAAGACGGUACCACAAACACACACACACACACACACACACACACACAUCCAUACACGCAAUGAAGAAAUAUGCUUACACGCUCAAUUAAUCCAAAUUCAUGCUUAUCUGUUUGCAAUAAAGCCUCGCUUUUUGCUCAAAACCUCGCACAGUGUGAUUUUAAAAUGAUAACAAACAGCUGAUUGACAACUGCUGCAUGACUAUUGUAGAAAAACUUACUGUCUUGAGCAACAUCUGGCAGCAAGACAUCUAAACAUAUAUUUUUGCUUUCAAACUUAUGCCCAGUUAAACUUAUUAGGAAGACAUCUCGUGUAGUAUAAGCAGUUCAUUCAAUUCCCCUUUCAGAUGGAGUGCAUGUUACAUCUACAGACAUUCUAAAUCAGUGAUCCCCAACCCCCGGGCCGCGGACCAGUACAAGUCACUGGGUCAUUUGGUAAAGAAAAAAAAUCUCACAUUAUUUCUGUUUUAUUUAUUGUGUGAUUCUGAACAAUGUUAUUUUGGAAAAUUACAUGAAUCUCUUGGCUAAAUCGGCCUACGACUCGGUCUUGGCACGUUAAAACGCUUGUCCUGGUCACUUGUCUUACUUACAACCGCUACCUUACCUGCUCCGGUAGAUAACACGUUAAACAUUACCGCUAAAUUAAAACCCCCAAGCUAACGAACAUGUUUCUUUGUGCAACGUAAAAGAGCCAAUGAGGCAGAAGAAGAACCAACGACUACAAAUAAAAAGAAAGCUGCAUUUAACAGACAAUACCAGUCCUACCUAAAACAUGGACUUAUUACGACUGGUUGUUCCAAGUCCGCUCUGCAUAAUGUGCAGCGACUGGUUCUAACAAGGCAAUCAAUCCUUCAAGCUGCUUCAUCACUUGGAGAUCAAGCAUGUCAAAGCUGCACACAUGGUGGAUGCAAGUUUAUUAUUAUAAAUAGAAAAUAACAGUUUUCAUCCCAAUCGUAACAUUUUUUUUUGUUAGGGUUAGGGUUAUAUUUCGCCUCACCAUAAAGACCGGUCCGUUAAAAUAUUGUGACAUUAAACCGGUCCGUGGCGCAAAAAAGGUUGGGGACCACUGUUUUAAAUAAUCCCUCUUUUGUUGGUGUUAACUUCAGCUCAGCUGUACUCUUAUGAUUGGCUGCUGAGAGGGGGCUGUAAUUGAGGGCCUCAUGCAAGCUUGUUUCCCCAUGUGAUACGAUCUCCAGAGAUGCAUCUGACCUGUCCUGUACAGAACAUGUGUCUUCUGGUCCUUUGAAGAGUUUGACGAGUUAUGCAUUCACACACACAACAAACUGGCCUCAACUUCCCUCUUUUGGGAUGAACACAGGUCUGUGCUUGCAAUUUCUUUUACUAACGAACAAAAGUGUUUGUUGAUUUUUAUUCUACAAUUCCAUACGUCCCUCUGUCAAACCAAGAUGGAGACAGAUGGCAGGACGUGGGUCCAUUCGAGAACAGGGGCCCGUUUCAAGAAGGAGGUUUAACAAACUGAGUUUAAACUAAACUAAAAGUUGAUUUACGCUGAGUUUGCAAACCUGGAGUUUUCGGUUUCAGAACAGCUGAUAAGAGUAAGUUUAAAGGGGUCAUAUCAUGCAAAAUCCACUUUUUAGACAUUUUGGCGCUUUCCUAUGACUCUAUGGUUCACACACACUGAGCACGGUAGAAAUGCAUUUCCUCCUUUUUUCACAUUUUGAAAACGUAAAUUUUCUCAUCCAAUGGAGACAGACCUCGUCCUACACUGAGACUGUUCCCCUGUCGUCCCAUUGGUAGGAAGUCUUCCCUGCAAAUCCUGAACCACCACCCCCACAAUGAUCCCGAACCAAAACUGGACUUCCGCCAUCCCCCCCCCUCUCACUCACCGUGAACAGAAGAACACGGCAGCGCCCAAGUCCUCCUAUAAAAAUAGUUUGGUUCUUGGGUGUUUUAACCAACACCAAAGUCUCUUCACUUUACCAAGGGAUCAACAAAUGAGGACUUUGUGAGUCACUUUUAUUUUAAACAGACCGGUGCCAGAAACACUGCCUCAGCAUUUAUACGUAUGUGCAUUUCAAACGAGGGUGCGUACAAUGCUGGAUUUGUUUCACGGCUUCUGUUGGAAAAAAAUGAUCUAUUCCUACAGUCCAUCAUUCACUCACUGAAGGGGACACAUCCCAGUUACCCACAUGCAAGGAGGCUGUCAAACAGAGAAAUCACUGCAGACUGUUGGUACACAGACAUCUGCUGCCCAGCUCAGGAGUGAAGUACCUUUUGUUUUGAUGAAGCUAUGGUGAGGACAGCCACAGCUUCCAUCUGGUAGAGGACUGCUUCCGCUUAGUCUUCCAAAUAGUGAUGAGAACAAGGAUUACCACAUCUCCCUGGUCAUCUAUUUACAACCAUACCUGUCCUGCUGCAGAAACAAAUCUCCAACAUAACCAAGUGUACCCCCUACCCAGGACAUGGACUGUUUACCCUACUUCCAUCAAGCAUUUAAUAUGCAAGGCCCUGCAAAAGCUUCUGUCUUUAAAUCCCCAGACUUCUUAAUUAACUCAGUAACCUAUACAUUGCACAUUGGAGUGUGAAAGUAACAGUUCUAGCUUUGGAGAAGUGGCAUUUUUUUGGUUGACAAUAAAGUUGGCUUUAACUUUUACGUAUUUCACUGAACUCUGUUUCUGAAAGGAAAACACUUUUAUUCAGGAAAUCAUAGUAUUGAAAUUACAUGUUUUUCUCUUUCUAAUAUGGUAAGAUAUAAAGGUGAACCGGCCAUAAAUAAAAAGCAUAAAUUAUAUGUAAAUUUAAAAAAAAUCAGUAUUGCACUCACAAAAACACAUUUUUACUCAAAUGGUAAAAGUUAUUCCACAGGUGGUCUACAUCGAUCAUACAAUGAGUGUUUUAGUGUUUUAUCCAUCAAGAAACUCAGCCUUCAUCUACAACCCAAGCAUGAAGAGAUGGCAACUCAGAUUCUUCAACCCAGGAAUCCUCAGCACCAGCUCACUAGCCUCUGUAGACUAGAUACCUGUAACAACUUCAGAUACAGAGACAUAUUACUGUCAGAUUUAUCAAGAAUGAUCAAAAAACAUAAUUAAAAGCAGUAAAAAUACAUCAGGUCAAUAUAUAAUUUGAACCAAUGCUUUUUGUUCCCAGGUAGGUCAUGCAGUGAUUGCUCUAAAUAUUAAUGCACAUUUUUAAAUAAAAUUAUGUCAGAGCAGCAGCACAAGUAAGACAAAAACUGAAAUGUGUAAAUGUAAAAUGUGUUUAUAUUAUUUCAGUUAUGCUAUUAAACUUUUAUUUAUUUGUAUAAUGUAAGCUAAAAUAGUGUUUUCUAUUAGCGAGAGUUUUCGAGGUAAGUCGUGUUGUGAAUAUUCAAGCUGCACAGGCCAUUUAGCAUACACAUUAGCAACCGCUAGCCGCUUCGCAAAUUACAUAAAUCAAUUAAAUUGAAGUAAAUGCGACAUUAACAAUGAGACACAUCUUGCAUCAGCCGAAAUGUGAUGACUUCAACAGCCUCCUCUUCAGCUUCAGGGUCAGAUUCAGGAUCGUAGACGCAUGGUUCUACUACGCUACCGAACCAGUUGGCUGGCUAAUGUCGUGCAGUCUUGUAGUGGGUCUUCUUCUUCUGUGGAGGAUUGUGGUGGAUUGCAUUUUCAAUGUCGCACUACUGCCACCUAUAGUAUCCUAGAGCCAAUAUAAAAAAAACAAAAAAGGUA